This is a non-coding RNA of Mycena latifolia, 91 nucleotides long. The record is from the annotation of a GenBank genome assembly. NCBI's taxonomy places the organism in Eukaryota, Fungi, Basidiomycota, Agaricomycetes, Agaricales, Mycenaceae.
GGUUCGAUGGCGUAGCUGGUAACACAUCCUGUCUUGGUUCUUGCACAAGCACCUCUGCAGGAAGUCCGAAGUUCGAUCCUUUGUCAAGCCA